GGGGUGUGUGCUGGUGGUGACUUCCACGAACAUCGAUGUUGGACGUUGUAUGAUAAUCUAUAGGUCCUCCAUUCUGACACCAAGUCAGUGAUCGGGCCCUAUAAUACUAUAAUAAUAGUAAUAUUGUAUAUAAUAUGAUCGUUCAUGAACCAAUUUCCUUUUUGUUGUUGUUGGCGUGAACAAGUCUUCAAGUCUUGUGCUCUGCUGAGCCACGAGUCUGUUCCUCGAGUCUGUUCUGCCUCUACCUGGUUGUCACGAUCUUCUAUACCAUACCUGCCAUAAAUAUCAUGAUACAAUACCAUAAAAACAGUAUACCAUAAAUACGAUACUGGUAUAUUUAUCUAUAAUAGUAAUAAAUAAAAUAUCUGUAUGGUUCACUUUUUACCAACUUUUUCAACACUUAACAAAUAGCAGUAAUAUUAGUAUUAAUACAGCAAGAUAUUAAUGAAACUACAUGGAGCCAUCAUAGCAUUGAUUAUACACUAUGAGGCCGUUAGUCUCUGACCAGAGGAUACAGAGUUCAUCAGGAAGAGCAGCUGUAGAGUUACACAACUUUACAGACUGAACUUAAACAUUUCACUUCUGGCAUCUUUUUUUAUUUUUAUUUUUAAAGCCGAAAAUUCCGCCACUUACACAAACAGCUCGACACGGAGCAGCGCGUGCGCUCUGAUCGCUCUUUUAAUGAAGUAUUGAGACUAAAAAUAUGCUAAAUCACAUCGCUCUUAACGUACGGGUACUUUGUUAGCAUCGCUCCACCGUGCAGCGCGACAGCAGCAGAAGUAGCGUCUAACAUUCAAGCUAACCUAAACCACCAAACGCUGAAGACAUCUUGACGCUGAUUGGCCGAGACGCGACACGUCCCAUCAAAGAUGUUUUAUUGCGAAGAGCACCACUCCACAUUUUCUCCGCGUCCCACUCCAAUCUCAUAAACGCCGGCCGGCCAAUUGACCCCCCCCCACCCCCAUACUCCAAAACAAAAACUCUUCGGAUCUACACGAUUCACGUAAGUCACCUAUUUUGGUUUCAAAACGGCGAAUUUCGCCGAAAGGUGAGGGAUUCUCAUGCCUGUAUCUAGGUUAUAAUAUCUAUGUUAUGUCUAUGUUAUAUCUAUGUUAUGAUAUCUAUGUUAUGAUAUCUAGGUUAUGAUAUCUAUGUUAUAUCUAUGUUAUAUCUAUGUUAUUCAGCCAGAGGGGGUCUGAGCUGCGUUACUUCCUGUCCAGCUGAAGGACCCUGAACAUGUGAGAUCCUCAGACCCCCACGAGAGAUGAUGAUGAUGCAACCUCGUAAGGAUCCAGGUGCACUUGUUUAUCUCUAUCACUGAGUUAUUUGUGGGGCGGUCCAAGUGCAACUGAGCGGGCGGACUGAAGAUAAGCCAGGAGAAUAUAUAUAUAUAUAUAUAUACAGAGACAUAUCUAUUCUCCCCUCCCUCAAGGGGAUUGAUCGAGUUCAUUCCUUCGUUCUGUGACCUCAUUUCUCACGUUGAGGAGAUCCAGAUCCUCCGUCUCUAAUCAUCUUCUCAUCAUCGCCCCUUUUCUCAGGUCUUCUUCUUCUUCUUCGCAGGCCGUACGCUCCUCACAGAGCCGAGGAGGCUGCCAUGGUUUAGAAAACAAACAGAACCAACGUGUCGUGAUUAAAGCGGAUUGGGUUCGGCCUCGCUGAUGUUAUUAAUAUUAUUAAUAGAGCAUCUCACAAGAGUGUGUCACACAAACACUCUGACGGUGACAUGCUGGACUCUACGCCUCCAAAACCACAACUCAGCGUUCAUGUUCAGUUCCUCGUAGGAGCCAUACAUGAUAUGAGUUAUUUUAAUUAUUCUAGUUGUUUGCUUAUUUAAUUUAGAUCUUUAUAUAUGUUUAUAUAUUAGGAUAGCUUUUUCUGCUGAUAGUUUUUAGUUUAGUUGAUUUAUUUGUUGUUGUUGUUGAGAUGCAUUCAGUCUUUUGGUUGUUCAUUGGUUGGUUCAUUGGGUAGCGCUGGGGGCUCCUGGGUGACUGAUGGAGUAGACCAGCAUGCACCUGGGGAGGCUUAUGUUUGUUUUUACUAGGGCUGUCAGCGUUAACGCGAUAAUCUAUGCGAUUAAUUUGGCCGCGUUAACGCACUAAAAUAUUUUAACGCAAUUAACGCAACUUUGUUUACUUCCGGUGUGCCUUGAAGUUUUUACACUCCUGAGUGUCAAACCGCGGCAGUACGGUUUAACACUGUUUCCGUUUUUAAAACAAUUAUUUCUCCACGAAAAUAAGGAGCAGGAAUCAGUUUAAACUCGUGGAUGAAUCAGUCGGGUUUCCUCCUGCUCCUCCUUCCUCCCGUCUCCCCCUCUGAUACACAGCGGAACGGAGGGGCGACGUGUCGGGGGACGCGGCGCGGAAAGAACUCGUCACACGAAACCUUCAACGUGAUUUGUCAAUCCGUUUGUCUGUCAACAUUUAGCGAAAAAAACAACCAAUGAACACUCAGUAAAUCACAAAGGACCUCCCACCACACAGGUGAGGCUCAUUAGCAGCCUGUCAGUCAGAGAACCAGAGAACACGGCGCGAGGACAAUGAGCCUUAUUACAGAGCUGAGAUUGUUCUGGAAUGUUUGAUGUAGAACACGUGGGUAUGUGUCACAUGCAAACGCCUUUAAAAGGUGAAUUUACAUGUUUUUGUAAAAUGGAGAACAUGAGCCCAGCCUCCAGAGGGUGAACAGGACAUAUGUGAAUGUCAGUCAGUUCCCAAGGCCACUGGUUCUGCUGUUGUUUAAUGUUAAAGAUGACAGGACCAAUGGGGUCUCAAUAUACUUUUUUUUUUUUUACUAAUCUGGAUGUUUCACUGAAGAAACAGUUUAUCAUCCACAAUAUUAAAUACCUCGCUGGCACUUUAUAGGUAGGAGCCUCUUUGAAAACACAGCUCUGUGGGAAGUUUUGUCUUUAAAAAGAAGAAAAAAAAACUUGUAAUCGCGAUUAAUGAAUUUCAAAAUGUGCGAUUAAUUAGUUAAUUUUUUUAAUCGAUUGACAGCCCUAGUUUUUAACAGUGAAGAAGAGGCAGCAUGAGGAGCUCCUUUGUUUAUUUGUUUGUUUUGUUUCAUAAAUGAUCAUAAAACAGAAUCCUGAAUGGACAAAGCUUUCUUUUGGCUGUGUGAACCCCGGAGCCCCCGGAGCCCCCGGACCCCUGGAGCCCAGCGGCCGUUAGCUCCACGUUGGCGUGUGGACAGAGGGCCACGGCAGUAUUCUCAAACUCCAGCAGGUGAAUCUGUUCACUGUCGUGUGGGCUUCUGGGUAAAAAGGUUUUCUGGGCAAAUAACAUUGACUGAAACAAAAUGGUGCCAUUGGUUGCAUUCUGGGAAAUGUAGGCUACGCAUACUAGUGACUCAAAUGCUCCAAUUUCAGCCAUUUGUUUUAAAAGUCUUCUGAGGCCCUGAACCUUACGCAGGUGCUAACACAUCCCUGGAGAACCUUUAAAAAGGACCAUGAACUAGACAUCGGGCCCUGGGCCUGCCGCAGGUCGCCACUACGGGAAGCUGAAUCGACACAUGCAGAGCCACUUGAUGUCUGGAUGAGAACGCUGAGAACUUAAAGUUAAAUUAAACGUAAACUCUGCCGUGACAUCGCCAGAAAAAGACACACACGCGAACCAGAAGACGUAAACAGCCUAACCUCGUCUCCUCCCUCCUCGGCCCUGAACUGACUGACCUCCUCUCCUCUAUGUGACCUGGCUUUGACCUCCCGCGCAUCUGGAGGUGGAAGGACACGAGCGUUGAGUUCAAGAGCCUCAAAGGGUGACGUCAUUACAACGAGCCCGGCGGCACAUUUAGGACAUCGAGACCACGUCGAGACCCCCGAGACGCGGAGACGCCCGUCCGGGAGCGAGCGGCUACUUAUCCUCGAGCGAGCCGCGUGACAUAAUUCAGAUAUUAAAUAUAUAAAACGUAGACCGGCCGGGCUUCAGACUCUUUAUCUCGAGGCUGUUUGUGAGUCCGUUGCCAUGGCCCUGUUUUCAUUGGGCCGUCACAUUUGUCGCGGAGGAUCUAAUUAGAAGAAGAAAAAAAAGAAAAGAGGCAAUGUAUUGAUCUCGAAGUGUGAUCGCAGCAACGUCCUAAAAAUAGGCCGAGCACCAGCGUGACAUCUGGGUCAUCGAUUUACGAGAGAGGCGAGAGGGAGAUGCUUCAAACGGGGCGGCGGCCUCCAGCCGGGGUUCACUCAGGGAGAUGGAACUGACUUGCGAUUCAAAUAUGAGAAGACCAAUCAACUUUGUUUUAAAGGGUAUUAUCAGGAACGCCUUUUCUUGAAGGAAAUGGCGUUCGGUCGCUGUAGGGAUCCCUCUCGUCGUGCAGAAAUGGGAUUAAAAUGGUGGAAAAUAUUCUAAAUACAGUUGAAAAAACCAUCUCACUUCCAUGUCCACAUGUUCUGGAGGUUUCCAUCCUGUCUCAGUUGCUCAAAUCUUCACAUUUUCUUUGUCCCAUGCUGAGGAAGAUCUCAUGACUGAAGGACCAGAUCAGUCUCAAUGACCUCCGGUCUUUAGUCCCAGGUCAUAAACUUUGAGUGUCGCGUCCCAAACAAGUCAAAAUGUGCUCCUCACCUGGAAUUGUAAACUUCCACAUCCGAAAGUUCAUUUUUAUAGCUCGUUGUGCGCAAAGAACGAUAUUAUUUUGGCGCUCAGUGACGCAACGUCAGUUCUUCGCAGUUCUCUCUUGCGGCCUGAUUGGACGUCGGCUCUGCGGAAUUCCUAGUGGGGGUUCAGGAAAUGGAGGGACGCGUGUUGCUUCGUGGAACGUUCUGCAUCUGUGGGCUUGAAGGAAGGUCUGGAGUCAGGGAGUCAAACGAGUCACGAGUCGUUAGCGAAGUCAAAGUCCUUUUGGGUUUUGUCGAGUCUAGAAUGUCGGAUUCGUGCGACUCGAGUCCAGACGUGGACCUCGUGUUGACAUCUUUACUCCACUGCUGACAGAAGGUACCCGAAAGUCUCCUAUUGAGUAAACAAUAGACGGUAUUUUCAUUAUUCGUGGUCUCUCUGAUAACGCUGUUAUUGUUUGUGCUACGCAAACGUCUUCGAGAACCAGACGGCGAUGUGUCUCGACGGUUGGGCGUUGGACAUGAAGUAAUCCAGGAACCGGUUUCCUGUCCCGUGGAGGUCCACAGCAGCCGGACCCGACCGAUACAACCCGGAUCCCUGAACCAGGAACCCCCCCCACCCCCCCGACAAACCAGGAACUCCCAAACAAUUAGCGGUGCCGCCGCCGGUCGCCUCGUUAAGGGCUGAACCGCGUCAACGCGACACCGGAGCAACACAAGCAGGAGGAACCGGGUCAGACGGCCAGAAACAUCAAGCAGAUCAGCCGAGGGACCGGGGCUGAGACAAUGAGAGAGUAAUAGGCUGGGGAGGGGGGGGGCAGAGGACACCACAAGCCCCACCCUCUCUACUGCCACGUUGAGUCCAGGCCACAAGCCACGAGAUGUUCUUGGCCCUCGCAGCGAGGCUCCUACCGGGUUCCUGAAGUCCCACGGAGCGGGUCCGGAGUUCGCCUCGCGCUCUGCCAGAGACUUCCCCUGAACCCAGGACACCUCCAGCUCUGAUUGGCUGAGCAGACGUAGGCGUCGAUGAAGAUGCGAAACUCCCCUGAUGCACUUCCCCGAAGGACACGCACCAUUCAUGAAAAGAAAUGCUGAUAAUGAACGUUCACCACACAUCUGACGUGGGACUGAACUUGUAAAUCAUACAAACGAGUUCUUCCUCCUGCCAAGUGGCUCCAAAUGAUUUGCAGUGAGUUCUUACUGUGUAAUAAAAGUUUUCCCAUGAUCCCCCAAAGUCUCCGCUCAUCAAUUGUGCCGCGGUGACGUCUAACAAGGCCGCAACACGCCGUAAAAAAUAAAUAAAAAGCCGUCCUGAACGCUGCUUGGCUGCGAUCGGGGUUCACGGUGUUUCACUCGCGUUGCCUCACCGCUCUCUCAUGCUAGCGGGGUAACGGACGGCUUUGGCCCUCAGGCCGCGGCCCCGGAGCCGGAAGGGAAAGCACGCGAGUCUGGAGAUCAGCAGAGUUUUAUGGCGGCGCGGCCGGCCUCCAUCUCCGACCUGCUAGCGACCCGGAGGAGGGACUCCGGAGAGACGUCGGCUCUGGUUACUGACCAGCUGACCGGGACACGUCUAUUAAAAAGGACGUUUUCCGCAGAAAAAAUUGUGCGUCAAAUUCUUCCUAAAUAAAAUAAAAUCGCACAACAUUAAGUCCAAUGGGUGC
Pseudoliparis swirei is the source of this 6201-nucleotide long non-coding RNA. RefSeq lists it as uncharacterized. The transcript is spliced from 3 exons. The record is from RefSeq and is a predicted model, not a curated record. Lineage: Eukaryota; Metazoa; Chordata; Actinopteri; Perciformes; Liparidae.